RNAcentral lists this long non-coding RNA (1120 nucleotides) under Dromaius novaehollandiae (emu). RNAcentral describes it as "lncRNA (ENSDNVG00000006775.1)". Lineage: Eukaryota; Metazoa; Chordata; Aves; Casuariiformes; Dromaiidae. The record is from RNAcentral.
GCCCGCUGGGUGGUGGGAGCCGGGGGGCGCGAGGGGAACUCGGGGCGCGAGGCAGGAGCGGGAGAAACCCGGCGCUUCCGCUGCCAGCGCGGGGUGCUGCGGGUUCAGGGCAAGUCUGAAUCUCCAGCAAAGCAGGAAGGACCCCGUUUGCCUUGUGUCAGUCACGUCGUCUUCAGGUCUGGGGUCAGCCUCCCCCUUCUACAUCUGCGGCAGCAAGCUUGUUAGCCGCAGAGGCGAAGCCCGCCGUGAGGUGAGGGAAAAAUGCUUGCGCACGUACCAGACGGUCAGCUCUUACAUAACACCUUUACCAUUUCCAGGCGCUGCAUAAACAGUAACUGGUUAAUCCUGAAACAAUUUCAGCAGAACAGGGUUUUACACGAGAUGAAAUAGAAAUACAACAAUGUUUAGAGACUCGUCCCACGUCCCGUUAAGAAUCCAUAACAGAGCUGGAGUAGAGGCGUACGACUCCCACCCUUUUGCCUCGGCCUAGACGGUACCAUUUCCAACGUCAUCUCCAGAGAAGAAGGAGUUAUAAAAGGAUGGGGGGAGUUCUUUGACUCAUAAGUUCUUAGUUUACAAAGACAAAACCGCAGUCGCUGUCUGAUAUUUCUGUGAACCACACUCUGAGGUGUCAGAGUCCCCGUGUGCGGUGCGGGGAGACAGGCAUCUGAAACCAGGGCUGACGGCAAGGUGUCCUGGGGCAUCAGGGUGUGUUUUCACUCUCAGUGAGAGCACGCCAGGUGACUAAUGCAAAGGUCGGUAGCUGUGCAGUUCCCCGUUUAGUCGUGGAUCUGGAGUCGUGAGAAUGGCUGGGAUGUUUCUCUACCUAAUAUUCUCCUUUCCCUUUGCUGCCCAGAAGUACUAUAGCUUGGUGCCAGCCUGUAGAUGCAAAGAGCACGAAAUCAAACACAUCUGCAGAUACCACAGCAAGCAAGCAGGUGAAAAAGUGUUGGAGGCUGCAGAAAAAAAAAAUGCAGCCUCUGUAGUGUGCAGUCAACCUAGAACUUGCCAACAACGUACCAGGAAGGCUUCCAAAGACAUAUACAUUGAAGUUUCUCCUGGCACCUACUCUAUCACAGCAACCUCAGAGGACAUGGUGAAACAAACCCACGUGAAAUAG